Molecule: long non-coding RNA, 4128 nt
Organism: Culex pipiens pallens (northern house mosquito)
Lineage: Eukaryota; Metazoa; Arthropoda; Insecta; Diptera; Culicidae
Exons: 2
Source: RefSeq, a predicted model, not a curated record
GAACCGAACCAAUUUUUUUAAAUCAUUUUUUUAUAGCCAGCCAUUAAAGUAUCCUUUUAUGAUUUUUGCAAAGUAUUUUUUUACAAUUUAAAUUAUUAACUUUGGGAAUAUUAUUUUAACCUACAAAUAACUUUCGAUAGAUGUUCUUAAUGCUUUUCAAGAAUACAAACAUCUAGCUGGUAAGUGUGGGGGAAUGCAGCGACCUCAAAUUUAAAUCAUUAAAUUUGUCCAUUUUUCGAUCCUCACCACAGUUCUGACCAUGCGCGUUUACGCAAGCAUAAAUAAUUUUACCCGUCGACUCGCGUUGCGCGACAAAUAAUUAAGCUUAUGUACAGGUGUGGAUCAUGAGUCAUCCUCACCUGAAAAGCCCUUUAUUAAAUUUCGCCAAUUGUUAGGCAAUCAAAAAAAUGGUUAAGCUUUCAAUUAUGAAUGUGCGAUGUUAUUACACAGGGGAAAUUGAGGGUGUGGCUUAACCAAAUUCAUUGGCAUGUUUGUUCAAUGGAGAAUUCGACCUUCUCAUUAUUGACCAACAUUUUGGAGAAUGUUUUAGGAACAUAAUUUUGAUAUUCCAAUAACAUAAUUUAAAGUUUCACGACAAUGGUUCGAACCCAUGACUUCCGAUUUUGAGGUGUACUCACUACACCAUACGGAAAGUCAUGAAGAAUUGCAGAGGUCUGCAUAAUUUAAUUCAUGAGGUUCAUCGAUGCUUCUCAUCGAAACGGACCACUUUUAGUAGAACAAAAUUUAGUAGAGUUUUCGGGGACUGACUAUAAAAACCCCAAAAUUCUUGAGGAGGGCAGUUAGUUCCAGUUAGUUCCAGUUAGUUCCAGUUAGUUCCAGUCAGUUCCAGCCAGUUCAAGUCCAGUCCAGUUCCAGAUCCUGAAGAAGCCCCAGACCAGCCGGACCCGCCAGCAGCCACCAGUAGCGGAGGCCCCAGUCCAGCCGGACUUAGCGGUGGAGGCCGCAGUCCGCCGGGACUUAGCCGCUGUGAAGAGUCCGCCGGGACUUAGCAGCCGUGAAGAGUCCACCCGGGACUUAGGAGUUCGGGUCUGGCAUGGUUCGGCGAAGAGGUCUGGAGGACAAGUCUGGCUUCAACGUAGAGAAUUGGCUCGACGAAGGUCUUAAUGAAAUUAGCAACAAAUAGUUGAGUGAUAUGAUCGUGCGCGUAAAAGUUGAGAGUGUUACCGCAAAAAUGUAAUCUUUAAAAAGUGUAAUAUACAAAUAAGUGAAGUUUACUGAUCUGUUUUGACUCUACAAGUAAAUAUCACAAAAAUCCUGAAAGCCUAAACCGCUCGGGCCGUUCAGGUGGUGACUAGCGGAAAGCAACGCUGUGUGUGUUUGGACACGCCAUUUUGAUUGGACAAAACCGAGAGUUGAAAAUGUGACUAUGUGUGAAAAUUAAUGAACAAAAUGAUUUCGCGAAGUAACAAACAGUUAAAAUAGUGUAAAAAAAAAACGUUAAAUUGAAGAAAAUGUUAUGUGAGAAGUUCUAAGAUGGAAGCAAAUAUGCAGCAGUACGAGAUGGAACCAAAACGGGCUCGACCAAUGGCAGAAGCAUCGAAAAUUUCAAAACCGGCCAACGAUGGACAACACUAGGGAUUCAACAAUGACGAGAUCAUCUGGAUCAACUGGAGACGAAAUUCGGCCGCAUCGGACACCCAAGAAGACGACCAUGGAAAUCUGGCAGUUUAGGAAUGUUAUAUGCUUAUACGAAGGAUUUACAGGAAACCAUUGGAAGACGAUCAAGAAGACAACAAUAUCAGCAAGGACGCUUGCAAAGACGAAUAUGGACUACAGCUCAAGAAAGGGUAAAAUUUGUGAGUACAUCGUGAGGAAUCUAAAAAGAUCGGAAAGGAUGGUAAAAGUUCCGAUCUAGGGAUACAUAAACUGAUAAAGCAACGCCAAAGGGAUUAAAAAGUAGACAAUUGUACUCUAUGGGGAGAGUUUUAUGUCGAAUAUAGCUUCAAAACAGUUGUAAUCCAUGGGGGGAUUCAAUAUGUUAAAAACAUUUCAAAACAUUUGCACUUUACGGGGUUAGUCAAAUGAUAAUUAAAGGGAAUGGAUAAAUAAUGCUUCAAGGGAAAAUCAAGGGAUAAAUAAUGCUUCAAGGGAAAAACAACUUUAAACUGAUAAAAUUCAGUGGGAAAAAAUCAGAAAAUUUCUACAUAGAUUAUUGAACCAAAUACUUUCGUGCUAAUUCAGAUUAUUUACGAAUUGCCCAAAUAAACGAAUUAAUUUAAUUGGUUUGACAAAUUUGAAAACACAAAGUGAUGUACAGAUUUCAUAAAAAGUUGGAAGAACAGAAAGGAUAUUUCAACAUGCGCAGUUUUGCAAUGAUAAGAUGAUAGGAUGUAUAGAUCAAUGAAAAACUUUAUAGAGUAAUUAUUUUUAUUCAAGUAUAAAAAUAAUAGUUGAUUAGAACUGAUUUUUUUUUAGUAUUAAAAAUAAUAGAACUGAUUUCAUAUAAAAAUAUCAACAAGAUUUAUAAGAUUGUAAGUAAAUUUGAAUCUCAAUUUUGCACAGAAAUUAAAUGAUAGAUUCUUGAAAAUUAUAAAAUAUUGUUCAUGCGAAGAAAACAAGUAAGAAAUUUUUGUGGUAGAAACAAAACUAAAAACUGAAGUAAAAUAUGGCAGAGACGGGAGACGAAACACAAGGAUGAUCGACGCGUUCGUAUGCUGAGAAGUUCUACGCGUUCGUAUGCAGAAGUUUGUGAUGGCAAGAUGGUGAGUGGCAAAGUCAUGCGGGAGGUUGAACAGGUAACGGUGUUGAUGUUGUUGCAAAAAGGUCAUACCAACGAGGAUCGAGUCGGAUUAAGACGCAAUUCUAGUAACGAGACAUUCACGUAAAACAAAUUACCAACCGAAGUACAGAUGAUUGAAAUGCGAAACAUCAAUUAUGGAACAAAAAAAAAGUUGAGAUCAUACUGCACGUCUGAAACUAUGGAAAAGGAGAAGUUCAAGAUAAACAAAUGAUAACAUCAUCCGAUGUCAUUAAUUCACAAAAACCAAAGUUGCAAAUUACACGAAAAGACAAUUUUGGACAAACAACAUUUCCUAAACAUUUGAAAAAAGAAUUACAUCAACCGAUGUCAAUAUUUUGAGAUUGUCAAAGAUACAAAGCAACUGGAAAAGUCAAUUGAAAAAAAAAAUACUGGAUUUACAAACAAUUCACAAUACUCAGCAAGUGAGAAGUCAAUGCACUCUCAAAAUUGACCACAAUCAACUCACAGUUGGGUUAUGAAGCAUAAUUCAUGAUGGAAACGACAAUUGCACUAAUCGACGAAAUUCAACACCUUAGCCUCGAAAACUGACCAAUUGACCAAGUCACUGUGGAAUGAAUAGCCUCACGAUAGAGACGAUUUUGAUGGAAGACGACGACGAUAACAACCAGCCGAUCAACACAGUUCUACAACAGAUUUUGCUUACAGUGGGAAAAAUGCAAUGAUUUUUUUUUUAGGAGAUAUAAUGAAAAUUAAUUUCAAAUGCAAGUUUAUUUAAAUCAGUUUCAAUGAAAAUAUUUUUACAAGAGAAGUUCAAAACAAUAAUUCAAGUAAUUUAACAGGACAGAAGAGUAAUGAAAAUAAUUUUACAGUAGAAAAAUCAAAAGAACAAUUAUAAUAAUAAAGCAAUUUACAAGAAAGCACAAGAAGAACAAAUUGUAAACCGCACGAUCACUACACCCGAAUAUAUUCUUUCCAUAGAUGAUCAUUUCUUUCAGACGAUCAUCUAGCUGAUAAGUGUGGGGGAGAUGAACCGAACCAAUUUUUUUAAAUCAUUUUUUUAUAGCCAGCCAUUAAAGUAUCCUUUUAUGAUUUUUGCAAAGUAUUUUUUUACAAUUUAAAUUAUUAACUUUGGGAAUAUUAUUUUAACCUACAAAUAACUUUCGAUAGAUGUUCUUAAUGCUUUUCAAGAAUACAAACAUCUAGCUGGUAAGUGUGGGGGAAUGCAGCGACCUCAAAUUUAAAUCAUUAAAUUUGUCCAUUUUUCGAUCCUCACCACAGUUCUGACCAUGCGCGUUUACGCAAGCAUAAAUAAUUUUACCCGUCGACUCGCGUUGCGCGACAAAUAAUUAAGCUUAUGUACAGGUGUGGAUCAUGAGUCAUCCUCACCUGAAAAGCCCUUUAUUAAA